UUACANUAGCCGUUGUUUCUUGGAUCCUCAAUUUACUUGGAUACCUGUGGUAAUUCUAGAGCUAAUACAUGCGACUAAGGGCCGAACUCACGUGACGCUUGCAUUUAUUAGAUCAAGACUAACCGGCUUCGGCCGUUAACUUGGUGACUCUGAAUAACUCAGCUGAUCGCACGGUCUAGUGCCGGCGACAUAUCUUUCAAGUGUCUACCUUAUCAACUGUCGAUGGUAGUUUAUGUGACUACCAUGGUUGUAACGGGUAACGGAGAAUCAGGGUUUGACUCCGGAGAGGGAGCCUGAGAAACGGCUACCACUUCUAAGGAAGGCAGCAGGCGCGCAAAUUACACAAUCUCAGCACGAGGAUGUAGUGACGAAACAUACCGAGGCGAUGCCCUUUCGGGUGUCGUCAUUGGAAUGAGUCGAAUCUAAAAAAUUCGGCAAGGAUCUAGUGGAGGGCAAGUCUGGUGCCAGCAGCCGCGGUAAUUCCAGCUCCGCAAGUGUAUAUCUAUGCUGUUGCGGUUAAAAAGCUCGUAGUUUGAUUCGCGUACUUAGCACGCAGUGUGGCCUUUCGGCUACUACUGUGAUGCGGUACAUUAUCGUCAGUUUGUCGUUGAUGCUCUUCAUUGGGUGUCAGCGGCGGCUGUCAAGUUUACUUUGAACAAAUUAAAGUGCUCAAUACAGGCGUUUCGCUUGUAUAGUUCUGCAUGGAAUAAUAGAAUAGGACUUACGUUCUAUUGUGUUGGUUUUCAGAACGAAAGUAAUGAUUAAGAGGGACAGACGGGGUCAUUCGUACUGCCACGUUAGAGGUGAAAUUCUUGGAUCGUGGCAAGACGAACUACUGCGAAAGCAUUUGACAAGAAUGUUUUCAUUAAUCAAGAACGAAA
This 881-nucleotide ribosomal RNA is filed under the name Halomonhystera disjuncta. Its description in RNAcentral is "SSU rRNA". It matches the Rfam family "Eukaryotic small subunit ribosomal RNA", at positions 101 to 988 of the family's 1831-position model. The record is from RNAcentral. Lineage: Eukaryota; Metazoa; Nematoda; Chromadorea; Monhysterida; Monhysteridae.